GACGAACGCUGGCGGCGUGCCUAAUACAUGCAAGUCGAGCGAAGUUUUUCUGGUGCUUGCACUAGAAAAACUUAGCGGCGAACGGGUGAGUAACACGUAAAGAACCUGCCUCAUAGACUGGGACAACUAUUGGAAACGAUAGCUAAUACCGGAUAACAGUAUUUCUCGCAUGGGAGAUAUUUAAAAGUUGGUUAUGCUAACACUAUGAGAUGGCUUUGCGGUGCAUUAGCUAGUUGGUGGGGUAAAGGCCUACCAAGGCGACGAUGCAUAGCCGACCUGAGAGGGUGAUCGGCCACACUGGGACUGAGACACGGCCCAGACUCCUACGGGAGGCAGCAGUAGGGAAUCUUCCGCAAUGGGCGAAAGCCUGACGGAGCAACGCCGCGUGAGUGAAGAAGGAUUUCGGUUCGUAAAGCUCUGUUGUUAGGGAAGAAUGGAUAUGUAGUAACUAUA
RNAcentral lists this ribosomal RNA (453 nucleotides) under Gemella morbillorum. Its description in RNAcentral is "bacterial SSU rRNA". It matches the Rfam family "Bacterial small subunit ribosomal RNA", at positions 28 to 468 of the family's 1533-position model. Lineage: Bacteria; Bacillati; Bacillota; Bacilli; Caryophanales; Gemellaceae. The record is from RNAcentral.